Long non-coding RNA from Prionailurus viverrinus (fishing cat), 542 nucleotides. RefSeq lists it as uncharacterized. Lineage: Eukaryota; Metazoa; Chordata; Mammalia; Carnivora; Felidae. The record is from RefSeq and is a predicted model, not a curated record. The transcript is spliced from 2 exons.
CGCCCUGAAUCCGGCUGCACACAGAACACACCCCCACCGCAACGCCUGCGAAACUAGCACACGGCGCAGCCACGUCUGCCACAACACACAGCAGGUGCGAUGUGCGGGCACACGCGCGCAGAGUCCACACUCUUAAGAAAAAGAAAGGUGGAUGGAAAGCCCGGGAAGUGGUGUUUUGGGCUCCUGGAGCCACAUGCUUCGCCGUCUGAUGGCAGCCCAGAGUCCCUGAGAAGUGUCGCUUUGGUAACUGGAGACCUUCCAAGCUCCCUGCUCCUUUUGGGGGCAGUGAUGACACGUCUGGAUUCGAGAAGGAGCAAAGGCCCUGGGGCUCAAUAAGCAUGGUUGUGUUGCCAUCCUGAGGCGAGACACCUGGACAAGACGUGUGAAUACUAGGGUUUCUGAUACUAAUACAAACUUGUUCCAAUCCAAUCCAACAGCAAUACCAGGGUUACUGUUUUCCCUCUGAGCAAGGCUCGAACAACGUGUCGGUCUCUGACGGGACAGUAAAUACUAUACGAUGAAUAAAAUCAGGUUUCUUAUUU